This 425-nucleotide ribosomal RNA is filed under the name uncultured bacterium. RNAcentral describes it as "bacterial SSU rRNA". It matches the Rfam family "Bacterial small subunit ribosomal RNA", at positions 354 to 796 of the family's 1533-position model. The record is from RNAcentral.
GUGGGGAAUAUUGGACAAUGGGCGCAAGCCUGAUCCAGCCAUGCCGCGUGAGUGAUGAAGGCCUUAGGGUUGUAAAGCUCUUUCAGUAGGGAAGAUAAUGACGGUACCUACAGAAGAAGCCCCGGCUAACUUCGUGCCAGCAGCCGCGGUAAUACGAAGGGGGCUAGCGUUGUUCGGAUUUACUGGGCGUAAAGCGCACGUAGGCGGAUUGGUCAGUUAGAGGUGAAAUCCCGAAGCUCAACUUCGGAACUGCCUUUAAUACUGCCAGUCUCGAGUCCGGAAGAGGUGAGUGGAACUCCUAGUGUAGAGGUGGAAUUCGUAGAUAUUAGGAAGAACACCAGUGGCGAAGGCGGCUCACUGGUCCGGUACUGACGCUGAGGUGCGAAAGCGUGGGGAGCAAACAGGAUUAGAUACCCCGGUAGUCC